AUGCCGCCUCGGUUGGUUGAUUUACUGAUCGGGGUCUGGAAUUGGUGUCUGGCAGCCUCGACGUUGCAUCAAGUCACUCCUGGACACAGGAAGCAGUGCCACCUCGUCGGCAGUGUGGCCGGUAUGAGGAAGGUUGUGGUCACCCUCGGUGACUUCCUCUGCUUCACCAUCCUAGCCGGCAUCAAGGACCAGAAGGACCCUCGCGACAAGCUCCACCAUGGCGGCUGGAUGGCCCAGAUUUUGUACUGGAUCACCAUCAUCUUCCUUUUUGUUCAGUGUGCUCAACAUUGUGUCAGCUUCUUCUGCGGGCAGCUUCUAUGA
RNAcentral lists this ribosomal RNA (321 nucleotides) under Triticum aestivum (bread wheat). RNAcentral's name for it is "partial small subunit ribosomal RNA". Lineage: Eukaryota; Viridiplantae; Streptophyta; Magnoliopsida; Poales; Poaceae. The record is from RNAcentral.